UUGUCACUUGAAGCUACCAAAACCUAAAUUCUCAAUUUAUUCAAAAUGUAAUUAAAAAGGGAAAUAAUCAUAAAUAUUCAGUUUCCAGUUUNUCUAAUGCCUUUCCACUUUCAUCUAAUUCACUUUGAAGGCAUUAAAAGGAAUUUGAUGUAUAAAGGGAAAGGGAAUCAAAUUAAAAUUUUCAAUUGCCAUAAUUUCAUCUAAUUCACUUUGAAGGCAUUAUAAUUUCAUCUAAUUCACUUUCAAUUGUCUUUUGUACCCAGUCCCUGCCCUGCUGACAUAAAAAAGCGUGUCAUGUGCAAAUUACGGCAAGUUAACCUUAAUUACAUUGUUUCCAAUUGCUACACCUUCAAGCAUCUCUCCUCUGUUCUCUUUCAAUAAGAAAUCACAUUAUUAUUCAGUACAUCUUUUGCAUGUUAUUUCUCUCUCACUCUUUCACGUACUGCAAGUAGUCUUGUUUCUUUCACAUCUCUAGACUACGUUUCUAAUAGUCUUACCAUCCCAGCCAGUCACUCAACUACUAUUAGGAAUAGGAAUGAGAUCAUUGGGUUCCUUGUCUUAAACCUCUUAUUAGUUUAAACUUCUAACUCCUUUCAAACUCAUCAUAUCUUUCGCUCUCGUUGGUGUGACAGGGAAUUCAAAUGGUACUAUAAUAUACGUUUUCAUUCAUUUAAUAGUACACAUUGAAAUAAUAUUCAUGAAAAAAGAAUUGUUGUAUUUUCAAAAAUAAAUAAUUAAAUAAUAGAAAUGUGUAAUGUAAAAUACAAUAAAAUGGCUUAGUUUUUCCCUGCAUCAGUUUCGUGAUAUUUUUUCUGUUAUUAUUCUGUUUAGAGUCUUUAAAUCUUAUAAAAGCUGUUUUGCAUGACUGAAUAAACUAUCUUUCACGUAUUCGCUGUGCAAUCUUUUACGUUUCUAAUAGUCUUACCAUCCCAGCCAGUCACCUCUUAUUAGUUUAAAUUCUGAGUAGAGCUCUCAUUUACCAACACAAAAAUUAAUAAAAGUUUCGUGCUUGGUUUCCUCUCUUCAUAUCCAGGUUGGUUUGUUAUUUAGGUUUUGUAUGUGCUUUGAUUUUGGUAUGUUGUGUGUUGUGGUGAUGUAUGUUGCCUGCUGUGAAAUCACUUAAACAUUAACAACCAUUGCCACACAGAAUCACCACCUAUCCUACCCCACAUUCCAUAAAAAAAACUUAACAUUUU
RNAcentral lists this long non-coding RNA (1196 nucleotides) under Vigna radiata. RNAcentral's name for it is "long non-coding RNA (VRAD_LNC013984)". Lineage: Eukaryota; Viridiplantae; Streptophyta; Magnoliopsida; Fabales; Fabaceae. The record is from RNAcentral.